AGAGUUCACGGCUAUAAGAGUGAUGCAGAUUCCCACGCAGAUGCACUCUUGUGUUCUCUUCCCUGGAAGUACCGUUCAAUAUAUGUAAAAGCAGACUGUCGAAAAGUUCUGGGAGUCGCUAAAACAGAAACGGUAAAAGAGAUACGGGAAACGAGGACAGUCGAUUUCGGGCACGAAGCGACGGCGAGACAAGGGGCGCUACGUACCGGUGCUGUACAGAUU
Molecule: long non-coding RNA, 222 nt
Organism: Vollenhovia emeryi
Lineage: Eukaryota; Metazoa; Arthropoda; Insecta; Hymenoptera; Formicidae
Exons: 3
Source: RefSeq, a predicted model, not a curated record